RNAcentral lists this ribosomal RNA (497 nucleotides) under uncultured bacterium. RNAcentral's name for it is "partial 16S ribosomal RNA". It matches the Rfam family "Bacterial small subunit ribosomal RNA", at positions 28 to 507 of the family's 1533-position model. The record is from RNAcentral.
GAUGAACGCUGGCGGCGUGCCUAAUACAUGCAAGUCGAGCGAACAGACGAGGAGCUUGCUCCUCUGACGUUAGCGGCGGACGGGUGAGUGACACGUGGAUAACCUACCUAUAAGACUGGGAUAACUUCGGGAAACCGGAGCUAAUACCGGAUAAUAUAUUGAACCGCAUGGUUCAAUAGUGAAAGACGGUUUUGCUGUCACUUAUAGAUGGAUCCGCGCCGCAUUAGCUAGUUGGUAAGGUAACGGCUUACCAAGGCGACGAUGCGUAGCCGACCUGAGAGGGUGAUCGGCCACACUGGAACUGAGACACGGUCCAGACUCCUACGGGAGGCAGCAGUAGGGAAUCUUCCGCAAUGGGCGAAAGCUUGACGGAGCAACGCCGCGUGAGUGAUGAAGGUCUUCGGAUCGUAAAACUCUGUUAUUAGGGAAGAACAAAUGUGUAAGUAACUAUGCACGUCUUGACGGUACCUAAUCAGAAAGCCACGGCUAACUACGUG